UCAUACUUCUUUGCACUCAAACAUAAACAACCUCUUCCCAGCUGUGUGCUUUGAAAAACAAGCUGCCUGAGAAUUGUACCAGGGCAGCAAGUGACCCAGACAGGCAACGACUCACUGAAGGUUGAUUGUGGACAAGACACAUUCAUAGAAGAUGAGGAAAUGAAGACAGACUUGGCCUGAGUCAGAUUCUCAGACGUCAAGUCAGGAGCAUGGUGUGUGUGACAGGAACAGAGCACGGAAAUGAAAUUAGUUCCGAAUGAGAGGGAAUAGUCUGCGUGCCUUACCAGCCAGGGAGCCUAGAACUGCCUAAUUAUCAGUGGUGCCUCCUCUUCUUUUCCCAGGAAUACCUGCAAGGACAGACUGUUCUCUAAGUUACUGAAAACUCGAAAGGCACUGGCCUGGUUAAAGCUUCUGAAAACAUGACAAUCCUUGUUGUAAACAUCUUUUGUGGCAGCAUUUGUGAAUAAAUCAAAGUGAUCAAGAGACCUGCUUCUUUGAAAGGCGGAGUGGACAGUGAGAGAGAGAGAGACAGAGAGAAAGGUCUUCCUUUGCCGUUGGUUCGCUCUCCAAUGGCCGCCGUGGCCAGCGCGCUGCUGCCGGCGCACCGCACUGAUCCGAAGGCAGGAGCCAGGUGCUUCUCCUGGUCUCCCAUGGGGUGCAGGGCCCAAGCACUUGGGCCAUCCUCCACUGCACUCCCGGGCCAUAGCAGAGAGCUGGCCUGGAAGAGGGGCAACCAGGACAGAAUCCGGCACCCUGACUGGGAUUAGAACCCGGUGUGCCGGCGCCGCUAGGAGGAGGAUUAGCCUGAUGAGCCACGGCGCCGGCCCCCAAAUUCUCUUUAAUUCUAUUUUCCCACAGGCUUUCUGAAGUUCCCUCAUCAGAUGUAGGUGUGUGGUAGGCUACACUCUGAGGUUUGUGGAAGCACACUCAAUGAUGUCCCCACAAUGAUGACAUUGUCUAACGGUACAUUUCUCAGAGUGCGCCUGCCCUGUCAACUCUGUAAGAAAAGCUAUGGGAAGAUGGCGAGGAGACUGACAACCUGGUGUGAGUUGCAGAGACUUUAGCGGGCAUGGAGGUGAAGAAGACAAGGAGGCUGUGCGCCGUCUACGUUGUUCUGUUAUCAUGAAUGAAGAGGGGCUGGUGUUUCUCCUGGCUAGGUUACUGAGUGAGUGGCUUAGUGUGAGCUGAAUUGGGAGACUGGCUUCUCUCCCACACACACCAACAACCAAGCUCAAAGUGUCCUUCAGGGCAGCACUCGGUUUUUGGGAAGGGCCCCCGGGGACAUGGAUCGCAAGCACGCUGCCCUUUGCCAUGGCUGUGGGGACACCUGUGCUGACCCCCGUCUCCUCCUGCCUCUCAGCAGUCCUACCUGGUAUCCUGUUCUCCGUACGUUUGCAAGCGCAUGCCAUGGGUUUUCCUUACUCAGCUCCGUGAGGUCUGCUGUGGCUUUUCUGUGGGCAAAGAGUGUCACUGUUCUAGUGGGAAUGACGCCAGAUGUCUAGGGUGCGUUCUGCCCCAGGGGACACCCCAUCUCAUCAGGAAGCACCUCUGCGGAACACAAGGAAGCCACAGUCACUGUAGGAUGACUCUGGGCAGGGGUCUUUGGUUUCUGAGCACAGCCUCGUCCUUGUGGUGAGACUAGCAGCCAAGCCCCAGAGUGAUAAGAGGCGGAGAAGCAGAUAGAGCCAGUGCGGUCACGUGGGUGCAAAGGGAAUGAACUAUGCACCCAACUCCCACGUUCCCAGCUUGUGUCAUCCUGUGAGGGUAUGGCAUCAUCCCCUCAGUAUAUAUUGGUGGGCUGUGUGGACCAUGACUGACGUCCUUCAAGUCCAUCUGUGACAAAGGACUCCCCAUCCUCCCUCUGCAACUGGAGAGAGGGAGGAACCGAGGAGCAAGGCUCCCUCCUACAGGCACUUUGUGGGCCCUUCUGCAUGCAUCAUUUCACUAGGGCUCACAGUAACACUCCUACAUGCUGAUUUCUAUUCUCAGUCUUUGAAUGUGGAAAUCCAAGCUCACAAGUUAUAUGUUAGUUACCAUCACCCUGGUUAACACUAGCCAUUGUAACAAACUAACCAUAGGCUUAUUUCCCAUCCAUUUAAAUCCCAAAUGAGUGUUCAUUCUCAGCUCUCCUCCAGUUGUCUGCUCCUGGGUGCAGGUCCUUCCACCUUUGGGACUUCUUUUCUAUUCUUUUGUUGUGCUUUGGCCCCUAUGGUGAGAUUUAAAAUGUAAGAUUGGUUUAAGAUUUGGUGAGAACAGCAUUUUUGAACAUGAAUGAACCACAGCAAUAAACAGUGUAAGUUCUGUAUUAUCUUGAGUAAGAAUCUGAGAUCCAUGGAGAUUGAGGGAUUGAUCGAGGUCUCAAAGUUAGGUAACAGAAAUUCUUUCAUGUGACCAGGUCUACCGGUGCUAGUGAAAAUUUGCUAAUGAGGCUGGGAG
Lepus europaeus (European hare) is the source of this 2436-nucleotide long non-coding RNA. RefSeq lists it as uncharacterized. The transcript has 3 exons. The record is from RefSeq and is a predicted model, not a curated record. NCBI's taxonomy places the organism in Eukaryota, Metazoa, Chordata, Mammalia, Lagomorpha, Leporidae.